UACGAAGGGUGCAAGCGUUAAUCGGAAUUACUGGGCGUAAAGCGCGCGUAGGUGGUUCGUUAAGUUAGGAGUGAAAGCCCCGGGCUCAACCUGGGAAUUGCUUCUAAAACUGGCGAGCUGGAGUAUGGUAGAGUGUGGUGGAAUUUCCUGUGUAGCGGUGAAAUGCGUAGAUAUAGGAAGGAACAUCAGUGGCGAAGGCGACCACCUGGACUGAUACUGACACUGAGGUGCGAAAGCGUGGGGAGCAAACAGGAUUAGAUACCCCCGUAGUCCCU
Molecule: ribosomal RNA, 275 nt
Filed under: uncultured prokaryote
Description: partial 16S ribosomal RNA
Rfam family: Bacterial small subunit ribosomal RNA
Source: RNAcentral